UAUUAAUGAUAAUUUUUACAAGAUCUUAUUCAUGCUACUUAAAGUAAAAGCCUAAAUGUUUCCCAAGAUCUGGCUUUUGUUCACUUAAGAAAGGCUUCUGUAAAGCAAUAUUUUGUAAAGCAAGUUGCUCGAGGUAUUUUGGCACGAGCCCUUCCAGUUGUGCACAGGAGGGUAACACAGGCAAACACAGUAGUGAGAUAAACAAGAAGAGUGUUUUGGAAACAUGUGGUUCUAAAUUAGUGCCAUCAUGCUGAUUCAGAGCCGAAUUGUGCAGUUCUUGCCCAACCCAGAACAACAGAGGAGUAAUUAUCUCUGAUAAAGCAGGGUCAGAGGAAUGAAUUUCUGAACUGAAAAAAUGCAGCUAAAGAGAAGACUUUGGGGUGACACUGCUGGACCCAGACAAAGGCUCAGAGAGGAGGAAGCCUGUUGGUCACAAACAAAACGAGCCCCAGCGUUCCUAUCAGGGAGACCUUGGAGGGAUGCCAGCUACUGUAAACGCCACCUCUCAGGGUCUGAGGCAGAAGUGCUCUCAUCCAUCUCAAGCUCAAGCACAUGGAGACAAGAACAUGACAAGAGAGUAGUAGAUGUCAAAUUUUCCAACAAUUUCUGUUGACGUUCAACCCCUUUCUUCUUCUUCAUGUGAUUGUGCUGUUCACCACCCAAACCCACCUGGAGACCUCACAGCACCUUCCAGUGCCUGAAGGGAUUACAAGGAAGAUGGAGAUGGACUGCUCAUCAGGAACUGGAGUGUCAGGACAAGGGGGAAUUGCUCCAAACCAACACAGAGAAGGUUUAAAUUAGAUGUGAGGAAGAAAUUCUUCUCUGCAAGGGUGGGCACGCCCUGGCACAGGGUGCCCAGAGCAGCUGUGGCUGCCCCUGGAUCCCUGGAAGUGCCCAAGGCCAGGCUGGAUGGGGCUUGGAGCAGCCUGAGAUAGUGGAAGGUGUCCCUUCUGGAAUUAGAUGGACUUUAAAGUCCCUUCCAACUCAAACCAUUCCAUGAUUCUAUUUUUCUAUGAGCCCAUGGCAGCCCCAGAGAAUGCCACCCAUGAGACAGCUGUCCCAGGGUGGAACCAUGUCCCAGACAUGCUUGGCUUUGAAGGUCACUGAGAAAGGAAGGUCCUUUUUGUGCUGGUGAUGAACAGGCAGCUUGUCCUUGCUCAGCACAGGCUGUGCCUCCCGCUGCCCCAGCAAAGGUGGCCCAGAGUGCCCAGAGCUGAUCAAGACACUCUGUGCAGUCCAAACAAAGGUAGCUCUGGGGGCAGAGGUCACAAAAAGCUGGUUUUUCCUUCGGGGUGAGUCUGUGUAAAAGAAGAGCCCGGCUUGUUUCAGGCCAAGAGGGAAUUUGUAUAAAGAUCCUUUCUCCAUGCCCACUGGGAUGCUAAAAGCUUAUAGCAACUUUCCUAAACAAAGAGCUGCAAUGAGAAUGGAGUGUUCCGGGCGGCAGAGCACCCACUGCUAGGAAGUGAAUCAACUCUGAUCAAAGGGAAAGGGUCAGCCCUGAAGGCUGUAAAAGUCAGCCCCAGUUCCUCUCCAGCAGCCAGGACAGGUUGCACCAGGAGUCAGCAGGGAAUUUUCUACUGAAAUUGUUUUUUUCUGAUAGAAAAUUACAUUAU
Molecule: long non-coding RNA, 1613 nt
Filed under: Parus major (Great Tit)
Lineage: Eukaryota; Metazoa; Chordata; Aves; Passeriformes; Paridae
Description: lncRNA (ENSPMJG00000018831.1)
Source: RNAcentral